UCAUUGUCUUGAUUAGUUCCAUUAUACCUGUGUUUCUCUUUGUCCUUCGUCAGUUCAUCUCUUUUCCUUGCAGUGUUCCUGUUGUCCCUGCCGUGUUUUUGCCCUGUUCUUCACUCGAGUUCUUUUCAUCAGCCUGAUGGGUAUCAGGGAGCUGAACCUUGUUCCAGUGGACACAGAGAGAGUGAGCUGUUAGCUGCAGAGCGUCUGAAUGGGCCAUCAGGAGCUGAGUGAUGGCAGAUAAGAGGACAAAGACUGAUUGUGUGUGAACGGAAGAAAGAGAGAGGGGAUGACGUGCUGCAAAGAACCACAGGCUGGAAUUGAACCAGCAGCCACUGCAAUGAGGACGUUGCCUCCAUACAUGAGGUGCCUGCUCUACCAGGUUCCAGCUAAGAUGAAAAAGGAUGGGAAUAAACAAAGCAUGAGUUAUGAAGAUUGUUUGCUGUCUACUUUUGAAAUCAGCGAGCUUUAACUACAGGCUCUGUAUGUGUUUGUUGUGGAAUGUGCCUUUGGUUUGUUAAAGCACGGAGUUGUUUUUUUUUUUUUGUUUGGUUUUUUUUUGGUCCACCCACUCACAGAAUCACUGCUCCCAAAGAAAAACAAUACAAUUAGAGCUUCAAGAAACCUUUUUUUCCAACUGCAAGAAACUUGAUGUCACAAAUUUGAUCU
Plectropomus leopardus (leopard coralgrouper) is the source of this 666-nucleotide long non-coding RNA. RefSeq lists it as uncharacterized. Lineage: Eukaryota; Metazoa; Chordata; Actinopteri; Perciformes; Serranidae. The record is from RefSeq and is a predicted model, not a curated record.